Molecule: microRNA precursor, 73 nt
Filed under: Myotis brandtii (Brandt's bat)
Lineage: Eukaryota; Metazoa; Chordata; Mammalia; Chiroptera; Vespertilionidae
Description: mir-9193 microRNA precursor family
Rfam family: mir-9193 microRNA precursor family
Source: Rfam by way of RNAcentral
GGCGGGGGAGGGGGUCCCUCAGCCUGAAUUGCGAGAGGGCGCAGGACAGGUUGAGGGACCCCAUCGAUGCACG